UACGAAGGGUGCAAGCGUUACUCGGAAUUACUGGGCGUAAAGCGUGCGUAGGUGGUUUGUUAAGUCUGAUGUGAAAGCCCUGGGCUCAACCUGGGAACGGCAUUGGAUACUGGCUUACUAGAGUGCGGUAGAGGGGUGUGGAAUUCCCGGUGUAGCAGUGAAAUGCGUAGAUAUCGGGAGGAACAUCUGUGGCGAAGGCGACACCCUGGACCAGCACUGACACUGAGGCACGAAAGCGUGGGGAGCGAACAGG
This 253-nucleotide ribosomal RNA is filed under the name uncultured bacterium. RNAcentral's name for it is "partial 16S ribosomal RNA". It matches the Rfam family "Bacterial small subunit ribosomal RNA", at positions 524 to 776 of the family's 1533-position model. The record is from RNAcentral.